UAGGGAAUAUUGCUCAAUGGGCGAAAGCCUGAAGCAGCAACACCGCGUGUGCGAUGAAGGCCUUCGGGUCGUAAAGCACUUUUCUGGGAGAUGAGGAAGGACAGUAUCUCAGGAAUAAGUCUCGGCUAACUACGUGCCAGCAGCCGCGGUAAAACGUAGGAGGCAAGCGUUAUCCGGAUUCACUGGGCGUAAAGCGCGUGCAGGCGGUUCGGUAAGUUGGGCGUGAAAUCUCCCGGCUCAACUGGGAGAGGUCGUUCAAUACUACCGGACUUGAGAGCAGAAGAGGAAAGUGGAAUUCCCGGUGUAGUGGUGAAAUGCGUAGAUAUCGGGAGGAACACCAGUGGCGAAGGCGACUUUCUGGUCUGUUUCUGACGCUCAGACGCGACAGCUAGGGUAGUAAACGGGAUUAGAGACCCCGGUAAUCCUAGCCGUAAACGAUGUAAACUUGGUGUCGGUGGCCUAAACACUAUCGGUACCGCAGCCAACGCGAUAAGUUUACCGCCUGGGGACUACGAUCGCAAGAUUA
This 526-nucleotide ribosomal RNA is filed under the name uncultured bacterium. RNAcentral's name for it is "bacterial SSU rRNA". It matches the Rfam family "Bacterial small subunit ribosomal RNA", at positions 355 to 896 of the family's 1533-position model. The record is from RNAcentral.